CCUACGGGUGGCUGCAGUCGAGAAUCUUCCACAAUGGGCGAAAGCCUGAUGGAGCGACGCCGCGUGAUCGAUGAAGUCAGUUUCUGGCGUAAAGAUCUUUUAUGAGGGAAAAAGUUUAUUGAUGGUACCUCAUGAAUAAGGAGCUGCUAACCUCGUGCCAGCAGCAGCGGUAAGACGAGGGCUCCGAGCGUUAUCCGGAAUUAUUGGGCGUAAAGGGUGUGUAGGUGGUUGUGUUAGUCUUGUGUCAAAUCCUUCUUGCUUAACAAGAAGACCGCACGGGAUACGGCACAGCUCGAGGGUGCAAGGGGUGUACGGAACUCACGGUGUAGGGGUGAAAUCCGUUGAUAUCGUGGGGAACGCCAAAAGCGAAGGCAGUACACUGGUGCAUACCUGACACUGAAACACGAAAGCCAGGGGAGCGAAUGGGAUUAGAUACCCCA
This 440-nucleotide ribosomal RNA is filed under the name uncultured bacterium. RNAcentral describes it as "bacterial SSU rRNA". It matches the Rfam family "Bacterial small subunit ribosomal RNA", at positions 338 to 789 of the family's 1533-position model. The record is from RNAcentral.